CACUGAUUUAUAAGGCCAUAUUGGGUAAAAUGCUAUUUAUCUCUGUUCUUUUUUUUAGUCAGGUCAGUAAAUAAAUAUUGAUUACAGUCCCAUUCCGAUUUGCUUCUAACAGUACCAAAAAUUAGAACAGGUCAUGGUAGAAAUAGUUUGUUACUUAGCUCCGUGGUUCUGGAAUUCUCUCCUGAACAUUUAAAAAUGUGAUGAUCUAGUAUCAUUGGUGGAGUUUAAACACUUGAUCAAUGUAUAUAUCAUAGAAGAGUGUAAUUGUUUUUAGGCCAGCUGUUUUUAGUAAAGACUUUCAUGUUUUUAACGUUAAAUGUUUUUGUUGUACUGUAUGUGUGUUUCAUAGUUUUGCUUACUGUUGUUUUAGUGUAUGUAAGUUGUUUUGCUUGAAACGUUGUUCCCCCUGCUUGUAACGUUCGUCGUCUUCCUCUGAUGAGGAGUAAGAGAGGACGGACCAAUUUGCAGCGUGGUAAGUGUCCAUUUUAAUAAGACAAACUGAACACUACAAAAACACAAAAUAGCAAAGUGAAACAAACGAAACGAUCCCGUGUGGUAACAAACACUAAUGUAACAGUAUGACUUUAGACCGUCCCCUCGCCCAUACCCGGGCGCGAACCAAAAUAAUCACCCACAACUCAAAAGUGAAACCAGGCUACCUAAAUAUGGUUCUCAGGGACAACGAUAAACAGCUGCCUCUGAUUGAGAACCAUACCAGGCCAAACAAAGAGAUCCCAAAACAUAAUAAAAGUAACAUAGACAACCCACCCAACUCACGCCCUGACCAUACUAAAACAAAGACAUAAUAAAAGAACGAAGGUCAGAACGUGAUACUGCUGCUAUUGGACCAGGUCUCUCUUGGAAAAGAGAUGUUAUCUCAGUGAGAGAAACCUGUAUAAAUAAAGGUAAAAUUAAAAAAUCAAUGUGAGUCGUGUAGUGAUGACCUCAUCACCAGUGUGCUGUAUUUUUUUAAAUUCCAAAAUUGGUCUGGAAAUAUUUUGUCUGAAAACAUCUGAUAAACGUACAUUUUGUAAUGUCCUUUUAAGCAGUAUAUUGAAAGGAUUAUAAUAUUAUUAUUUAGUGUUUUUAUCAUUUCUGUUCAUUUUAAUUUACUGUACCAUCUAAAAUGCUUUUGUAUGUCAAUCUACCCCUUUCAGGCUUUCUUGAUUGCCUUCACAUCAGGUUUCUGCUUUACCAGUAAAAGUUUGACAACAAUCUGAACGGAUAUGUUAAUUUCACUCUGGCCUAUGCUCCACACAGCUACACGAGCCAACCCAUGUGCAGCUUGCUAAUCUUUGCCUCCCAGGCUUUCCAAUGGUAUUUUACUAUUUUAUAUUUUAUCACCUUUACUCUAUUGAUACUACUCUCCUCAGAAUCCCUCUUCUUCCACUGAGGUUUCUGUCUAAUUUCACCCUGUCUUCUUUUCCAUCCCUCUGUCUCACUAUCUAUUUAUCCUUCUUUACCUUCCUGUCACCCCCAAUGUAUGCUCUUUUCCCUCCAUCCCUCUCUGCAGCUUGUAGUGUUUUUCUUCCUGUAAGCGAUAGACUGGAUGGUGCCAGAUGUCUCUGAGUCUCUGGAGCUGAAGAUGAAGAGAGAGCGCUACUUGGCUAAGCAGGCCCUGGCUGACAAUCAGGAUGCCCUGUUGGUGAGUCAGCGUGCCCCGGCCUCCAGCCCAGGUCAGUGGAACAUGGCGAUGCUCACACACCCUCACCACACACCCACUGCUUUCCUGCAAAGAAUCAUUGUGGUGUUCAGGUUGUUAUUGCAAAACAAAAUGUGUUGUCAUUUGUCAUGACUAACCCUGUUUAAAAAACAUUGUGCCUAAGAACAGCCCUAGCCAUGUUAUAUUGGCCAUAUACCACACCAUAUACCACACCCCAUCGUGACUUAUUGCGUAUGUAUAACACCCUUUUCCUCCUUCGGUUCAGUUGUAUCCCUGUUAUAUUAGUGGUUACUUAUUAGCUAGGGCUCCUGUUCAUUUGAAACUACACACACAUAAAGUGAGUCAUUAAGGAUUUAAAUUGGCACCCUAUUCCCUAUUUAGUGCACUACCUUUGGAAAGGGUGCCCAUAGGGAUCUGGUCAAAGUAGUGCACUAUAUAUGGAAUAGGGUGCCAUUUGGGUUACAGUCAGUAUCCCAUUGGAUCCAGUGUACAUUUCCUGGAGUAUUAAGGGCGGUGAAACCAGAGAGAGACAUGAAUUGAUUGAUUCUAAAGCUGCUGUAUAAGUAGUGCAAGCAGUGGUGUUAAUAAGUUACGUAUUACAUUAUUACAGAAACCGAUUUGAUCUUCAUAAAUUAAUUCCAGACUUUAUAUCCUAUUAUAGACUUUAUAGCCCCCUCACACACACACACACACAAAAACCCCUGAGCCUUAACUCUAACAUUGCACUGCUCAAGUCAGCAGCAGCUAGCCUGUUUGCUCUGUGAUUCAGACUCAAUAAAAACAUAUGCACAAUGUUUAAAGACUGGGCUCACUACAACGGUCAUAAUAUGGCGAUAGAAAUGCUAAAGUGUUCAAAGCCAGACCCAUAUAACCUUAACCUAAGUUAUUGCAUCCAUAAGUCUUUUCCCAUGGCAUGUGUAGCCUCUUUCUCUCACUUCGCAUCCCAUCAGCACAAGACUGGUGCUUGCUGGCCCAUUGUUUCUCGUUGUGGUCCUUUAAAUGGUGUGGUGGUGGGUGUGCGUCCCCGUGUUCUGACCAUGCCAUUGUGGGAGUUCUGUUUCUUGUCGUGAAUGUCCUGGAUGGGGUGAGUAGAAAUUCUCACUAAUGCAGUCUGUUAAGCUUCUAAGUAAUAUAUAUACAGUACCAGUCAAAAGUUUGGACACACCGACUCAUUCCAG
Molecule: long non-coding RNA, 2841 nt
Organism: Oncorhynchus tshawytscha (Chinook salmon)
Lineage: Eukaryota; Metazoa; Chordata; Actinopteri; Salmoniformes; Salmonidae
Source: Ensembl